RNAcentral lists this ribosomal RNA (253 nucleotides) under uncultured bacterium. Its description in RNAcentral is "partial 16S ribosomal RNA". It matches the Rfam family "Bacterial small subunit ribosomal RNA", at positions 524 to 776 of the family's 1533-position model. The record is from RNAcentral.
UACGUAGGGUGCGAGCGUUAAUCGGAAUUACUGGGCGUAAAGCGUGCGCAGGCGGUUCGUCGUGUCCGAUGUGAAAGCCCCGGGCUCAACCUGGGAAUGGCAUUGGAAACUGGCGGACUCGAGUGUGGCAGAGGGGGGUGGAAUUCCGCGUGUAGCAGUGAAAUGCGUAGAGAUGCGGAGGAACACCGAUGGCAAAGGCAGCCCCCUGGGCUAACACUGACGCUCAGGCACGAAAGCGUGGGGAGCAAACAGG